Molecule: non-coding RNA, 3201 nt
Organism: Labrus bergylta (ballan wrasse)
Lineage: Eukaryota; Metazoa; Chordata; Actinopteri; Labriformes; Labridae
Source: RefSeq, a predicted model, not a curated record
CAAGUCCAUUGCAUCACAUCCGAGUGAGCUAUCUGAGGGUGUGUGACUGAGUGUGUGCGUGUUUUUUUCUUCUUUUUCUUCCAUUUCAUAUGUUUAGUCAGAUCAGGAAGUGUGAUGCUAUAACAGAAGAGGAGGAGGAAGGGGCACACAAUGGCACUAUGUCUGCUUUGCGGCCUUGUAACAUGAGAGGCCCCCGGCUGAAGACCCUUUUGUUUCUUCUUCUUCUGCUGCUGACCGCUCUGACACACACAGGGUUGUGUGAAGAUGAAGACGGUUCAGAGCCAGAAGAAGUGCCAGAAGGGAGACAGGUGACCUAGAACCACCUGUGGGUGGUGACACAGAACUGCUCCCAGCUGAUCCUGAUGCCACCUCGCCAUCGGAAAACCCCACCACAGUGAACACAGAUGGAAACCCCACAGAUGAUGAACCUGAAGGCUCAGGAGACGAGGGCACCACCAUUUCAGAUACAACCUCCUCACCAAACUUGGAUGAUGUUUUGAAUCCCAUCAUCAUCCUGAUCCCUGUGGUGCUGGCGGUCGUCAUUAUCGGCAUGAUAGUCUGCGGUAUUUUCUUCAACCGCAGGUGGAACAACAAAGCCAGAAAUCAAGAGCUGAGGAAAGAGGAUCCAUAUUUGGAUGGUCCCAGUACAGAAAAGGUGCCAAUGCCCAUGUUUGAAGAGGAUGUCCCCUCAGUCCUGGAGUUAGAGAUGGAAGAGUUGGAGUGGAUGAAAAAGGAUGGUGACACUGCAGAGGACUCUAAACAAGCAUGAAUCUAUGUUAUGGUUAGGACACUCUCCCCCAGUAUGCAAGGACACACAGCCAACAUGCUUCGCUGCCAACUUGGAGUGUCCAACCUUCAAACAACAUCUGUGACCACAGGAACUAAUCUGAUUGCCAGGAAAUGACAUCAUUACAUUUAAAGGACUCUCACAAUGGACAGCGACGUGCAAAAAUCAGACUGAAACCUGUUACAGAGUGCCUCCAAAGUGAUCCUUUUUUUGCCUUUUAUGUAUUGUUUUUGGCAUGCUUUGCCUAUUAUUAUUUUUUAUUGAAAUUGUGUGAAUUUUUAGCAAUAGUCAGUCAUUCCAGGUAAAUGCACAGAACGUUCUGUCCCAUUAAUGAUACAAAUUGAAAAGCAUUACCUUUAACAACACAGUGCAGCAGCUACUAUAACCCCUUUUCUGCUAAUGCUCUUACUGCCAAAGAGAUUGUUAUUGUCCUAAAGUGCAUUAGGGCAAUGCUGAACCCCUCCCUGCACAUACAGCUAUGACUACUCAUAGUUUCUGCUGGUAGUUUCUCUUUGUUGUGUUUAAACUGUGCGACUGCCUCCAGCUGCAGGUGUUAUGGGGAAAUAUCCUGUUGAAGAUUGCAGGCAUGCAUGACAGAGAAGGCCUCUCCUUUUCACGCCUGGACACGGCUUAUUGAGAAACUGUUGUGCUUUUCCUAAACAGAAAUCUCAAAGUGUGAAAUCAGUUGGAUUCUAUUGCUGCGUCUUUUGAUAAAUUCUUUGCUUGUUGCUGAAGCAGCUUUUCUUAAAGCUGCUGCCGCUGAUAAGAUUGUCAUCUCGCCAUAGAUAAUACCUCUAUCUGAAGAUGCUGCAUGUUCAAAUGUUUUGCUUUCAGUUUGGACUAUAAAGUGUUGAUCGAAGCAGUCAGGAUUCUGAUCUCAAAAUGAGUGCAACUUUUCAAAACGUAUCAGUCAGUAUUUUGCAGUUUCUUGCAGUGUAAAUAUGAGAGAACAAAAAGUUAAUAUUUUCAAGGAAUGCCUUCUGUAAAUAUUUCAUAAAAUGCUUUGGUACUGCUUUGUUGUUGUUGUUGUUGUUGUAGUUGAUGAAGCUUUGAAUAAGAUUUCGACAAAUAAAAUAUUUGUAAUUAUUUCUUACACACACUGGCUGUGUGGCUGAAAGUCGACCUGUCAGCAAAUCUUCCAGUUUUUCUCAUAGGCUGAAAUAUCUCCACAACUAUUCGAGGAAUUGCUCUGAAAUUUGGUACAAACAUAAUUGGUUUACAGAGAUAUAUCAUAUUAAUAAAAGCUUGAAGAUAUAUUUAUAUAGCGUCACAGUGAGGUAACUGUGUUUCUGCUUCCAACUCAAUCAGCUGGCAGACAGUCUUAGUUUAAACAGAUUUCUUCCACAACCUCUGUUAGCCUGACAUCUUGUUUCUAUUGAAAUGUGAAGCUGUCCAUGCUCAGCCGUUGUUAACACACAUAGUGUCAUAUUUAAAGUAACUCGUAUGUGGCCCAUUCACCUACAAUCUUCAUUAAAGCCAGUGUACUCAGUUUGUCCUUCCAAUGAGCUCAUGGGAAGCCCCGCUCCACACGUCAAUGGAGGACAUUUCCAAACAUGUUGUUUCAACUCUGAGGAAAGGAUGAUGUAUUGUAGGUUGGCUGUGGCUCAGUUGGUAGAGUCCUCAGCUUUUGACUCCCUUGACUGUAGUAUUUUUGUCAUUUACUUGCCUUUUUACUUUUUUAUUUGACUUCUGUGUUCAUUGUUUUUGCACCAAAACAUCUAGUCAAAUUCAAGUCAAAUUCCUUGUAUGCGUAAACCUACUUGGCAAUAAAUCUGAUUAUGAUUUCUGAUUCUAACUUUCCUAAUUUUGUAUUUGCAGAAUGUAAAUAUAUUUAUUUUAUGACACUUUGAGCAUUUCUUUUCAUCUUUACUGAUUGAGAUAACUUUAAUGAUAAUUUGACUAGCACACUGAACUAAGAUAAUGUAUGUUAUGGUUGUUUCAUUGUAGAAUGUGUGCUUAGUCUUUUUGCUUUAAACACAACAACAUACGGCCUCACACAACUGGUAGCAUGCCUGUAAACUCAAUAAAGAUACAAGUAAAUCAUUCAGAUCAAUGUGAUUCCAUCCCAUCCCAUUUUUUUUUACAAUUGUUAAAGUGUGCUCCACUCUCUACUCUGCACUGUUUGUCUGAUGGGAUUCUGGGAGCAAGGUUGGACAGUUCACACUAACCAAUGAAUACAAAUGAGAGAGAAGUCUUGUACUCCAUUUCCUCCUUUUUUUCACUUUCUCAUUAGAUUUCCAGACAGCAGUCCUGUCCAUCAGCUCACACUGUCUGCAUCAUCACUUCUGUCUGGCUGCUCAAACAUGCUGACUAAACAUUGACAUUUUCAUUUUCAACAUUGACACCUGAGAAAAUUAUGUUUACUCAGGUAAAUCAACUCUGUGUCUGUCUGGUAAUAAAAUGGUUGUAAGAUC